GUGCCUCAUGGUUGUCUUAACAGAUACAGGCUCUUGCAGUAUCUACGUCAGAGGCAAAUUAAAGAUGGUCUUACACAAGAGUAUCUCUAAUGAGUGGGUCAAAAUAUGUGCCAAGCGGUGGGACAGUGAUACACUAUCUAAUUUUAAUGAUCUUCAAGAGAGAGUCCACAAAAUUAGUAUAAAAGAAAUUGUAUGGAGUCAUGCUGCGGGUGACUGGACCAAAAAACAGCACUUCUUGUUUGCGCACACGAAAAUAUGGAAAUUAGCCUCUGGAGGGUGGAAACCAUGGCUUACAACAUGAAGGCAGAAGAAAAUAUGUUUCUAGAUCUCCUCAAACCAGAUCUUUCAUCAGAUGUUAAACAUAUGCAGUGGACACGGAUUAGUAGUACACAAAGCAUCCUGUUCAUUUGUUGUUAUGAUGGAACCGUCCAUGGCUUAAAUUUGAAACACGAUGAAAUGCUGCUUUCCUGCAACUUAUCAUCAACGAUCAUUGUGUGGGACAAUGCUGAUCUAAUUCUAGUCUCAAAAAUCAUUACUCUGUCAAGGAGUUUGGAUGGAAAUGAAAUUUUGAUUGCAAUGUUGAAAGGUUUCCACAUAGUUGUUUCAUCCAUCAAAAUAGAGAGUUCUACUCCUGCUCAGCCAGCAUUGCUCCAUAAAUUCUCCACACAAAUCACAGGAUUAGACAAAAUUAACGAUGAACAUUUAAUUUGCGGAUUAUGGAAUGGUGCUGUUUAUUUAAUUUCUGUGAAAACCGGUUUAUUAACUGUAGAUGCCAUCGAAAAAGAUAUCUCUUAUGCAAAUUAUUGCUGCCAAGGCCUUGCACUUUCAAGGAAUGGAGCGUUUGCAGUUUUAUGCAACAGCGUUUCUAAGUUUUUUGACCACUCCAACCUGCGGCAAACAGCACAUUUUUACCUAAUGGCAUUACCCAAAGAAAUUAUUGACCCAGCGUUACUAAUCGAAUCCUCUUUGAAGUCAAAAUCAUCAACUGUGAAUUCAAUUGCUGAUUGUUUAGCAUCGUACAGGUUCAGUAUUGUUUCUAAAGAACAACCAAUACCACAAUACUUGGAAAAGCUGGAUGAUUUAUGUGCUUUGCCGGAUAAUGUGCUCCAAAUUUACCUUCGAUUAUUUCACUUUUUAGCUCCUUGUGAUCCUCUUGAAAGUGAAAAAUGGAGAAAACUGUCGAAUCUCAUCACAACUGUCCUUUAUGCCCGAUUUUUCACUCGCAAGAAAGUUUCCAAUCCUGUGGUGAUUCAAUGGCUGUACAAGACAGUCAAAGCUUUGGAUAGCGUUUCAAGGAGUUAA
RNAcentral lists this long non-coding RNA (1302 nucleotides) under Bemisia tabaci. RNAcentral's name for it is "lncRNA ENSSSA3NGG009320". The record is from RNAcentral. Lineage: Eukaryota; Metazoa; Arthropoda; Insecta; Hemiptera; Aleyrodidae.